UGCCUCAUGAUGGCCUCUGCAGGUCAAGC
Molecule: non-coding RNA, 29 nt
Filed under: Homo sapiens (human)
Lineage: Eukaryota; Metazoa; Chordata; Mammalia; Primates; Hominidae
Source: RNAcentral